RNAcentral lists this ribosomal RNA (253 nucleotides) under uncultured bacterium. Its description in RNAcentral is "partial 16S ribosomal RNA". It matches the Rfam family "Bacterial small subunit ribosomal RNA", at positions 524 to 776 of the family's 1533-position model. The record is from RNAcentral.
UACGUAGGCAGCAAGCGUUGUUCGGAAUUACUGGGCGUAAAGAGUGUGUAGGUGGUGUCGUAAGUUUGGUGUGAAAUCUCCCGGCUUAACUGGGAGGGUGCGCCGAAGACUGCGAUGCUUGAGUAUGGGAGAGGAAAGCGGAAUUCCUGGUGUAGCGGUGAAAUGCGUAGAGAUCGGGAGGAACAUCUGUGGCGAAGGCGGCCAUCUGGACCAGCACUGACACUGAGGCACGAAAGCGUGGGGUGCAAACAGG